UACAGAGACUGCGAGCGUUAUCCGGAUUCACUGGGCGUAAAGGGUGCGCAGGCGGUCGUGUGUGUGAGGCGCGAAAGCCCGGGGCUUAACCCCGGAAUUGCACCUCAAACUACACGGCUAGAGCAUUGGAGAGGGUAGCGGAAUUCACGGUGUAGCAGUGAAAUGCGUAGAUAUCGUGAGGAACACCAGAGGCGAAGGCGGCUACCUGGACAAUUGCUGACGCUCAGGCACGAAAGCGUGGGGAGCAAAAGGG
Molecule: ribosomal RNA, 253 nt
Filed under: uncultured bacterium
Lineage: Bacteria
Description: partial 16S ribosomal RNA
Rfam family: Bacterial small subunit ribosomal RNA
Source: RNAcentral